AUUGAACGCUGGCGGCAGGCCUAACACAUGCAAGUCGAGCGGAUGGAGGGAGCUUGCUCCUGGAUUCAGCGGCGGACGGGUGAGUAAUGCCUAGGAAUCUGCCUGGUAGUGGGGGAUAACGUCCGGAAACGGGCGCUAAUACCGCAUACGUCCUGAGGGAGAAAGUGGGGGAUCUUCGGACCUCACGCUAUCAGAUGAGCCUAGGUCGGAUUAGCUAGUUGGUGGGGUAAAGGCCUACCAAGGCGACGAUCCGUAACUGGUCUGAGAGGAUGACCAGUCACACUGGAACUGAGACACGGUCCAGACUCCUACGGGAGGCAGCAGUGGGGAAUAUUGGACAAUGGGCGAAAGCCUGAUCCAGCCAUGCCGCGUGUGUGAAGAAGGUCUUCGGAUUGUAAAGCACUUUAAGUUGGGAGGAAGGGCAGUAAGUUAAUACCUUGCUGUUUUGACGUUACCAACAGAAUAAGCACCGGCUAACUUCGUG
This 484-nucleotide ribosomal RNA is filed under the name uncultured bacterium. Its description in RNAcentral is "partial 16S ribosomal RNA". It matches the Rfam family "Bacterial small subunit ribosomal RNA", at positions 30 to 507 of the family's 1533-position model. The record is from RNAcentral.